UACGUAGGGUGCAAGCGUUGUCCGGAUUUAUUGGGCGUAAAGAGCGUGUAGGCGGUUUGGUAGGUCCGCUGUGAAAACUCGAGGCUCAACCUCGAGACGCCGGUGGAAACCAUCAGACUAGAGUCCGGAAGAGGAGAGUGGAAUUCCUGGUGUAGCGGUGAAAUGCGCAGAUAUCAGGAGGAACACCGGUGGCGAAGGCGGGUCUCUGGGCCAUUACUGACGCUGAGGAGCGAAAGCGUGGGGAGCGAACAGG
Molecule: ribosomal RNA, 253 nt
Filed under: uncultured bacterium
Lineage: Bacteria
Description: partial 16S ribosomal RNA
Rfam family: Bacterial small subunit ribosomal RNA
Source: RNAcentral